UGUCCAUCCAUGGCAACUUGGCAAGGUUAGCGGCGCACACAGGAGGGAGACGAUUGGUUCGUGCUUAGCGCCCGUGUACUGCAAAUUCAUCCUUAACAGGUAAUUACUGCUACGGAGAAUGGUUUUGACGAGGAUGAUCCUACCCAAUCUAUGAAGCUUUGUGUGAUCUCUUUAUGUUCUCGGCCCAUUGGGCUAGAUGCGUGCGCACAUGCACGGAUGGCAUUGGAAUUGGAAGUGUACACGGUGGUAAUAAAAGAGGUGUAUGAUUGUUUGAGCUAAUAGCAGAGAGCUCAGCAUGGACUAGACACUUCUAAGGAUAAUAUGUGGCCGGGUGAAGCCGGUGUAUAACAUGUCGUAUCCUAUGCCUAAAGAACGUGAACAUACAAAUACAAGUUGUACAUGUAUAACAAAUGGAAUUAUGUGGCAUAUAAAGAUACAAACAAUUCAUAACUCAAUCUGUCAUGCCCUAUAUUAUAGUGGCAAACUGUACUCUUUUCUUUUUGUUGGCCUGAAAUUGCUGUUGGACAUGUGCUUUAUCAUCUUCUGAUGGUUGGGCGCGCAAAGCGCGCAAGAGUUUCUAGUACUCUAACACGUCCAGUUUCUUACUGAACCAAUGGAAAUUUAAGCAAUCAAUGACAUGAUGCCAUUACUCCUAUGCAGUGAUAUUAUUUGUAACAAAUGACACCAAUUUUGGUCA
Long non-coding RNA from Sorghum bicolor (sorghum), 697 nucleotides. RefSeq lists it as uncharacterized. Lineage: Eukaryota; Viridiplantae; Streptophyta; Magnoliopsida; Poales; Poaceae. The record is from RefSeq and is a predicted model, not a curated record. The transcript is spliced from 3 exons.